Molecule: non-coding RNA, 45 nt
Filed under: Schistosoma curassoni
Lineage: Eukaryota; Metazoa; Platyhelminthes; Trematoda; Strigeidida; Schistosomatidae
Source: RNAcentral
AUCCAACUGACGAGUCCCAAACAGGACGAAAUGCGCGUCUUGGAC